RNAcentral lists this ribosomal RNA (252 nucleotides) under uncultured bacterium. RNAcentral describes it as "partial 16S ribosomal RNA". It matches the Rfam family "Bacterial small subunit ribosomal RNA", at positions 524 to 776 of the family's 1533-position model. The record is from RNAcentral.
UACGUAGGGGGCUAGCGUUAUCCGGAUUUACUGGGCGUAAAGGGUGCGUAGGUGGUUUUUUAAGUCAGGAGUGAAAGGCUACGGCUCAACCGUAGUAAGCUCUUGAAACUGAGAAACUUGAGUGCAGGAGAGGAAAGUGGAAUUCCUAGUGUAGCGGUGAAAUGCGUAGAUAUUAGGAGGAACACCAGUAGCGAAGGCGGCUUUCUGGACUGUAACUGACACUGAGGCACGAAAGUGUGGGGAGCAAACAGG